AACUUCCAACAACGGAUCUCUUGGUUCUGGCAUCGAUGAAGAACGCAGCAAAAUGCGAUAAGUAAUGUGAAUUGCAGAAUUCAGUGAAUCAUCGAAUCUUUGAACGCACAUUGCGCCCGCCAGUAUUCUGGCGGGCAUGCCUGUUCGAGCGUCAUUU
Molecule: ribosomal RNA, 157 nt
Filed under: Fusarium oxysporum
Lineage: Eukaryota; Fungi; Ascomycota; Sordariomycetes; Hypocreales; Nectriaceae
Description: 5.8S ribosomal RNA
Rfam family: 5.8S ribosomal RNA
About the family: 5.8S ribosomal RNA (5.8S rRNA) is a component of the large subunit of the eukaryotic ribosome. It is transcribed by RNA polymerase I as part of the 45S precursor that also contains 18S and 28S rRNA. Functionally, it is thought that 5.8S rRNA may be involved in ribosome translocation.
Source: RNAcentral